AAAGAUGGUUUGUCAAAGUUACAUGAUUCAGAAAAGGAUUGAUGUUUUUUUUUUCUCCAGUAGUGAAUGAAUGUGACCUGUAGAGCAGCUAGUCUGUCACUGCUGCUAUGAACUUUUUCCCCUGCAAGCUCUGCGUCCCAUGUAUUCCAUGCAGGGAAAGGGAAGUCACCAGAUCACUUCUUACCCGGAGAAACUUUCCAUCAAUCAUCAACGGGCAGCAUCAAAUAUUUGCAUUCCAGGACAGAGAGCAUCUUCCUUUUCUUUGUCUCCACCAGCCAGCAAUGCAAAUUUUCUUUAGGACCUCCCGGCUCCAAUCAGAAAUCUUUGCUCCAAUCCAAAGAAAAAGCUUGCUGGCACCUGUGAAGAAGUUCGCAAUCAGUCGAGAGAAUCAGACCUUCUGUGCAGAUGAUUGCCUCGGCUGUGGUAUGCUUUCUUCACUGGCCGUGUUCCGACGCAAAGCGAAGCGCAACUGCAACAUGCACAUGUUCAGUAAACCUUGGUCUGGUGAGUGUAGACUAUAGAGAGAUUUAUAUUGGUUGGAUUUUUUAUGGUUCUGGUGCGAAAACUUCCAUACGGUGUCUUGGUUUGGACACAGAACAGUGGGGGUAUAAUAGUCUUAAUGAGGUGGCAAACCCGAGCAUUUUAUUUGUUAUCCUCCAUUGCUUGUCUGCUAAAAGAAACGGCUUGAUUCAUGACACGAUGAUUGGAAGAUGCAAUGGCAUCCUCAUAGUGCCCAUGUGCCUGUGGAUACUGUUGUGAUUAAACAAGCAGAAUCGAUUAUCAUUGAUUGAACGUUUUAUAAUCAGGGUGAUCUGUA
This is a long non-coding RNA of Panicum virgatum (switchgrass), 817 nucleotides long. RefSeq lists it as uncharacterized. NCBI's taxonomy places the organism in Eukaryota, Viridiplantae, Streptophyta, Magnoliopsida, Poales, Poaceae. The record is from RefSeq and is a predicted model, not a curated record. The transcript is spliced from 2 exons.